RNAcentral lists this ribosomal RNA (474 nucleotides) under Triticum aestivum (bread wheat). RNAcentral describes it as "partial small subunit ribosomal RNA". The record is from RNAcentral. Lineage: Eukaryota; Viridiplantae; Streptophyta; Magnoliopsida; Poales; Poaceae.
AUGGUCAGUGCCAAGAGACUUGCUCAGAUGGCAAAGAACUGGCAAAGGAUGGCGGCCAUGGGGAGGAAGAGGCUCACCCGGACCACGACAGCAGCGGCGAAAGGGUCCAUCAUAGAGAAUGAGUGCAGCACAGCGUUGUCGCCGUCGGUGGCGAUGAAGGGCCACUGUGUGGUGUACACGGCCGACAACAGUGCGCGGUUUGAGGUGCCGCUGGCAUACCCCAGCACGGCGUUCUUCAGCGAGCUCCUGACCAUGUCCCAGGAGGCGUUCGGCUUUGCAGGCGGCAAUGACGGGAGGAUUAUGCUGCCCUGCGAUGCCACGGUCCUGGAGUACGCCAUGUGCUUGCUCCGGAGAGAUGCCUCCGUGGAAGUCAUGAGAGUGUUCAUGAGCUCCGUCGCGAGGCCAUGCAGCAGCUUUGAAGGCGGCGCGGUGGCGCCAUGCGUAGGGCUUGGUCAUGAAGUAGCUGCUUGUUAG